Molecule: long non-coding RNA, 199 nt
Filed under: Cebus imitator (Panamanian white-faced capuchin)
Lineage: Eukaryota; Metazoa; Chordata; Mammalia; Primates; Cebidae
Description: lncRNA (ENSCCAG00000038163.1)
Source: RNAcentral
CCCGCCUGCCCUUUCCCCUCCAGCCUCUGCCGGUGCUGCUGCGCCUUGCGGAGCUCCGAACACGUGCGCCUCCGGCCUAAGUUACAGAGUUUUGAGGGCAGGGACUCUGAGCUGCACACAUGUUCUCUGUUGGCUGACUAACCUGGAGUUUCAUUGCAGAGAGGUCAGCUAUGGCAGAUGGAACUGCAGGGUGACUUGA